RNAcentral lists this ribosomal RNA (1551 nucleotides) under Limisphaerales bacterium. RNAcentral's name for it is "bacterial SSU rRNA". It matches the Rfam family "Bacterial small subunit ribosomal RNA". The record is from RNAcentral. Lineage: Bacteria; Pseudomonadati; Verrucomicrobiota; Verrucomicrobiia; Limisphaerales.
ACGGAGAGUUUGAUUCUGGCUCAGAACGAACGCUGGCGGCGUGGAUAAGACAUGCAAGUGGGACGACGUUGCAUAAGUAGCAAUAUUUGUGCAACGUAGUCGCGUAAGGGUGCGUAACACGUGGGUAAUUUACCACAAAUCUCAGAAUAACCUACCGAAAGGUUGGCUAAUACUGAAUUUUAUGUCAAAGCGGCAUCGCUUUUACAUUAAAGCCGGGGACCUUAAUGGCCUGGCGUUUUGUGAUAAGCCCGCGGCCUAUCAGCUAGUUGGCGAGGUAAAGGCUCACCAAGGCUAAGACGGGUAGCUGGUCUUAGAGGACGACCAGCCACACUGGAACUGAGACACGGUCCAGACACCUACGGGUGGCAGCAGUCGAGAAUUUUUCACAAUGGGCGCAAGCCUGAUGGAGCGACGCCGCGUGGGGGAUGAAGGGCUUCGGCUCGUAAACCCCUGUCAUUCGGGAAAAAAUCUAAUACGCAAAUAGCGUUUUGGUUGAUGGUACCGAAAGAGGAAGGGACGGCUAACUCUGUGCCAGCAGCCGCGGUAAUACAGAGGUCCCAAGCGUUGUUCGGAUUUACUGGGCGUAAAGAGCGCGUAGGUGGUUGAUCAAGUCUUAUGUAAAAUCUACGGGCUUAACCCGUAUUGGCCAUAAGAAACUAGUUGACUUGAGUGCUGGAGGGGAGAUUGGAAUUCUCGGUGUAGCAGUGAAAUGCGUAGAUAUCGAGAAGAACACCAGAGGCGAAAGCGAAUCUCUAGACAGCAACUGACGCUAAAGCGCGAAAGCUAGGGGAUCAAACGGGAUUAGAUACCCCGGUAGUCCUAGCUGUAAACGGUGCAUGCUUGCCGUGAGCAGAUUUAUAACUGUUUGUGGCGUAGUUAACAUGUUAAGCAUGCCGCCUGGGAAGUACGGUCGCAAGAUUAAAACUCAAAGAAAUUGACGGGGGCCUGCACAAGCGGUGGAGUAUGUGGCUUAAUUCGAUGCAACGCGAAGAACCUUACCUGGCCUUGACAUGCAAGUGGUAGAAGUUUGAAAAAACGACGAUUCCGCAAGGAAAGCUUGCACAGGUGCUGCAUGGCUGUCGUCAGCUCGUGUCGUGAGAUGUUGGGUUAAGUCCCGCAACGAGCGCAACCCCUGUGUCCUGUUGCUCCUGGUAAUACCAAAUGCACACUGGACAGACUGCCUCGCCUAAACGAGGAGGAAGGUGGGGAUGACGUCAAGUCAGGAUGGCCCUUACGGCCAGGGCUGCACACGUACUACAAUGCCUGACACAAAGGGCUGCUAAACGGCAACGUCAAGCAAAUCCCAAAAAUCAGGCUAAGUUCAGAUUGUCGUCUGCAACUCGACGACAUGAAGUUGGAAUCGCUAGUAAUGGCACAUCAGCUACGGUGCCGUGAAUACGUUCCCAGGCCUUGUACACACCGCCCGUCACAUCAUGAAAGCCGGUCUGACCCGAAGUCGGCAUUACGCCGCCGAAGGUUUGGCUGGUAAUUGGGAUGAAGUCGUAACAAGGUAGCCGUAGGGGAACCUGCGGCUGGAUCACCUCCUUUCUA